RNAcentral lists this ribosomal RNA (402 nucleotides) under Bacteroidota bacterium. RNAcentral describes it as "Bacteroidetes bacterium partial 16S ribosomal RNA". It matches the Rfam family "Bacterial small subunit ribosomal RNA", at positions 355 to 776 of the family's 1533-position model. Lineage: Bacteria; Pseudomonadati; Bacteroidota. The record is from RNAcentral.
UGGGGAAUUUUGCACAAUGGGGGAAACCCUGAUGCAGCGACGCCGCGUGAUUUAGAAGGCCUUCGGGUUGUAAAAAUCUUUUCUAUGGGAAGAAAAUGACAGUACCAUAGGAAUAAGGACCGGCUAAUUACGUGCCAGCAGCCGCGGUAAUACGUAAGGUCCGAGCGUUGUCCGGAAUCAUUGGGCGUAAAGGGUACGUAGGCGGGUAAGCAAGUUAGAAGUGAAAUCCUGUAGCUCAACUACAGUAAGCUUUUAAAACUGCUCAUCUUGAGAUAUGGAAGGGAAAGUGGAAUUCCUAGUGUAGCGGUGAAAUGCGCAGUUAUUAGGAGGAAUACCGGUGGAGAAGGCGACUUUCUGGCCAUAAUCUGACGCUGAGGUACGAAAGCGUGGGUAGCAAACAGG